CUCCCCGCUGGAACCAACCCAACCCAAACGAAGUAACAGUAGCAAACCACACAUGUACCAAUAAACUUCAGUAUGAAACAGUUUCUCACCGAAAGAAACUACCAAAGCAUUUCCAAGAAUUUCGAAGAAACCGCCUCAAGUCAAUUCAGCCAAGGAUAUUAUUUUCCACAAGCAAAAAACUAUGGUUCAGCUCCCACAUGGGCAUGGGGUUUUUUGGGUUUCAAGACACAAAUCACAGAACUGGAUGGGCAUAUAGAAGGUACAUUGUGAAUCUACGGCAUCAACCUGUUGGAGUCACUUGUCCUCAGUGAUGAGCAGAUGCUUCCUCCUUGGGCUUGGUCAUCUGGACAGCCAAAAAAACAUGCAACUGUAAGAAGAUGGAUUGAUGGUAAAAAGAGUGAAGAAUUGUGAUUCAAUGAACAGAAAAGCAUAUGUACAUUAUAAUACUGCAGACAAGAAAAUAAUAAGCCUAAUAUGAAGAUAAUUGUUUUUCUUAUUGAUGGCUGUAAGAUGGACUGAUGGAAAAGAGAGAAGAAAUGUGAUUCAGUGAACAGAAAACAAGACGUUAUUAUUCAGCAGUGAUACUCGAUAUUUGACAAGUAUGGUUUCAUGUAUACAAGUUAGGCAGAGCAAUGUACAAGAUAAAUCGUUUUGUAUAAAGCGUGUCCAAUCAAUAUCCAAAAUGCUAUCGAGCAGAGCAUAGAAACAGAGUCCCAAAAAUCUAAUUAGCUGCUGCGGCGACAACCACGCGCCAUGCCGGCAGCGGCAGGCUGGGGCGAGGGUUGGGGAGGACGCAAGUGUUCUCAGGUUAUUAACAGGGAAACUGGGUGAUUAACAUCUCUCAAAAAAGAAAAAAAACAACUUAAAAUAUUGAGUGCGGCAACAACAUCUACUUGUUACUGGAGUCCCAGUUCAAGAUGGCCAGAGGCCACCACCAUGGAACCUGCACAAUUUCCAUCAUAUAUAUGAAUGAGUUAGGAAGUAAAGUAGAGUUGAACUACCCAGCCUCAUACAUAUAUAUAUAUAAAGUGUGCUGCACUGCUGCUACAGGAAGUUUCAUAGGCUUUCAAGUGAAGGGAUACACGUUGUUCAACUGUCGUGUUUAUUUUUUGUUGUUGGGGAAAGCAAUAGCUUAAUCAAUUCACUUCUCUAAAAGUAUGAACAGCCUAUCACUCAAACAGUCCUUGAGUGCUAAUAUAGUAUUGUAUUGGUAAAAAAACAUGUCACCACGAAGAGCUUUAACAGUUAGCACCAUUUUUAUUAGAGAAGUUCAGAGAGAGAUUUGAGAAAUCUAUAUUAGAGAAAACUUCAGUGCAUACAGAAAUUCUCUCAAGUCUCAUUGCAAAUAUCAAGUGCAUACAGAAGCUUUGAUUUGAGUGGGAAUGGUAUGAAAGGGGCAUAUAAGGACAAUAUACCCAAGAGUUGCAUAUCUACAUAGAAAUGAUGCUGAUCACAUAAGUAAAUAACAGUGAAUGACAAACUAUCUGCACUUAAGAUCGCACACACACCAACCAGCACCAAAAAAGUAAAGGGUAAAUAACAAUCUCACACUAUUAUCACUAGUGCACAAUUCUUCAUAGAAGAAACACUGCCUAAUAUAGACCUACCUAGGAAAUCAAAACAUUGUAGGAAUAGGUAUAUCCAUAUAUUUUGAAGAUGAACAACAACAAAGUGAUAUACUUACACGCACACAUGCAGUUUUAAUUAAUUAAAUGAGCAGGCAACAAAUGCAAUUGGAAAUCUAGGGGCAGGAGGUAGUGAGAGCAACGCAUGAGGGAUCGUCAAGAUGUAGGGGAUGGAGGUGUCUCACUUGGUUUCAAAAUAAGAUGCACACAAAGACAACCACAUAAAUAUAGCAGUGCAUACUACUGAGGAAAACAGGGACAUCUCUUUGCCAACAUGUAUAAUUCGGAGCAGCAAUAGCGUGCAGAGGAAGAUGAGAGGGAGAUGGAGAUGCUACCUGUCGUGGUGGGUCGGCGUGGACGUGCUUGAGCUCGGGGCAGGACCUCUUGGUCGCCCUAGGAGCAGAGCAGCAAACCCCUCAUGGCCCUCCUGCUCGCGAUG
RNAcentral lists this long non-coding RNA (2064 nucleotides) under Triticum aestivum (bread wheat). RNAcentral describes it as "long non-coding RNA (TAES_LNC024816)". The record is from RNAcentral. Lineage: Eukaryota; Viridiplantae; Streptophyta; Magnoliopsida; Poales; Poaceae.